This is a long non-coding RNA of Cannabis sativa, 397 nucleotides long. RefSeq lists it as uncharacterized. NCBI's taxonomy places the organism in Eukaryota, Viridiplantae, Streptophyta, Magnoliopsida, Rosales, Cannabaceae. The transcript is spliced from 2 exons. The record is from RefSeq and is a predicted model, not a curated record.
CACCCGACCCCUCUCUCUCUCUCUAACCCUUUCUUUUAGAAAUCUUGAUUUUGAGAAAAAAGGGCUUGAUUUGGUGUAGCUUUGUGGAUGUUCUUGCUUGGGAAGAACUUGAGGAACUUGUGGAAAGGGUAAGGCAUUAGCUGAUCAGCCAUGAGUUUCAGGAGCAGGGCGAAGAAUGUACAUGUUCAUGCCACUUCAGACCAAGCGGGUUAUGGGUCUAACAGUGUUGACUUUUGUAUUCUGUUUUGCCGCUUAGGUCGGCUAGUAAGAAAGAACUUGUAAUAAUUUUGUAAAUAUUUUUGGGAUCUUAACUAUGUUUGAAAAAGUUUAAAUAUAUUACAAGUUUAUUUUCAGUCUGUUUAAUAUAAAAGUUUAAAUUCUGUGCUGUUUUUAAUUA